This 332-nucleotide long non-coding RNA is filed under the name Homo sapiens (human). Its description in RNAcentral is "HSALNT0398557". Lineage: Eukaryota; Metazoa; Chordata; Mammalia; Primates; Hominidae. The record is from RNAcentral.
GCGCGGGUCUCCAGAGCCUGAGCUAGUCAGAAGCAACAGUUGCUACUGCGUCCCCCGGACAUUGGGAGAAUCGUUUUCCUUGGGCAGCUGGUUCCAGACCCCCACCAGUCCUCUAGACUCCAGGCCAAUCAGUUGCUAAGGGACGUUCCUCUCUCAACCUGCACUUAUCAACAUUUUAAGCUAUAAAUUCGUCUGCAUUUCUUCAUCGUCUGUCUAUGUAGACCAUGACUCCACGGAGGCAGGCCCAUCCUCUGCCCUGCCAACACCCAGGCCCUGGAGUCUUGGCUUCCAAACACACCUCCAGUGCUGCUUCUCACCUUACUUACCCAGCU